Molecule: small nuclear RNA, 102 nt
Organism: Chiloscyllium plagiosum (whitespotted bambooshark)
Lineage: Eukaryota; Metazoa; Chordata; Chondrichthyes; Orectolobiformes; Hemiscylliidae
Source: RefSeq, a predicted model, not a curated record
ACACCUUGGUAGCAUAGAUCCUAAAAUUUGCAAUGAUACAGAAGAUUAACAUGGCCUCUAUGCAAGGAUGACAUAUAAAUUUGUGAAGCGUUGGGGCCCUCU